AGUUCUCCAUCUGUAAAAUAGGAAGAAGAAGAAUAGCCCUUCCUUUUCUUCCUCCCUUUGCUUGUCUUGCCUAUCUAAGCUCUUCAAGAACAACAGCAAGGAAGCCAUUCCUGAGGUGGCACUCAAGCCCAGUGUCUUACUACUUGACCGUCUGGAGAAGAUGGACUGCCGAGAAGGGGAACUGAGGCACAGAGAGAUGAAGAGAUUUGCCCAGGGUUAAACAGGAAAUCUGAGGAAGGCAAACCGAGACCUCCGGAGUCCCAAUCCAGUGCCUUUACCACAAAA
Mauremys reevesii (Reeves's turtle) is the source of this 285-nucleotide long non-coding RNA. RefSeq lists it as uncharacterized. Lineage: Eukaryota; Metazoa; Chordata; Testudines; Geoemydidae. The record is from RefSeq and is a predicted model, not a curated record. The transcript is spliced from 3 exons.